RNAcentral lists this transfer RNA (77 nucleotides) under Aliikangiella coralliicola. Its description in RNAcentral is "Aliikangiella sp. M105 tRNA-Met". It matches the Rfam family "tRNA". Rfam says of the family: Transfer RNA (tRNA) molecules are approximately 80 nucleotides in length. Their secondary structure includes four short double-helical elements and three loops (D, anti-codon, and T loops). The record is from RNAcentral. RNAcentral also lists the same sequence under 2 other names. Lineage: Bacteria; Pseudomonadati; Pseudomonadota; Gammaproteobacteria; Oceanospirillales; Pleioneaceae.
GGCAAGGUAGCUCAGUUGGUUAGAGCACAUCACUCAUAAUGAUGGGGUCGGUGGUUCAAAUCCACUCCUUGCUACCA